Molecule: long non-coding RNA, 1616 nt
Filed under: Equus asinus (donkey)
Lineage: Eukaryota; Metazoa; Chordata; Mammalia; Perissodactyla; Equidae
Description: lncRNA (ENSEASG00005027566.1)
Source: RNAcentral
UCCACACUAUUCUCUAAAUAAAAGAGCACUACUGCCAGAUCUUGAGAGUCUAAGAAAUCUUUCUUUCGACUCCUCGGCUCACCGACCCCGCAUCACUCAUGACCGGCCAUCCACAAAAGAGAUUGCAAAGACAAACAGAAACCUUACCCUUUGACACAGCCAGGCAGACACAAUCCGCCACACACACGCUGAUUGUCUGUAUCCAAAGGAGAAAUAAAACUUCUCAUAUCUUUUCCAAAGCAAGAGAUUACAACUUGGAGCCAAGCACCUGGGCGAAACUCCCACAGUGACAGAGAGACGGGACCCUCUUCCCUGAUGCUCACAUUCCAGUAAGAUGGCUGCGAGGCCUUCAGGAAGGACACUCCUGGGAUGCAAAAGUGGCAAGAGGCUUAUUUCGCUUUUGUGACAGGUUUCCACGCACCUCAAAGAGAAGGAGGAAGGAUUCACAGUUAGCAGUUUUCUAAAGGAGUGCUAAAAGAAAUGGGAGAGGGAGAAAAGAUCUUUUUCCCUUUUGGCACCAGGGAAAUUUUUUAAUUGAAUUUUUGGGGGGAUUUUCAUUGUAGGGAAGGAAAAAUCUUUUCCCCUCUACCCUCUUAGGUUCAGUGGUGAAGCCUGAGAAUCAGUCUGAUAGAGGAUGACUCACAAGAGAUGAAACAGCUUUAAUGACCUCAUACGCAUGGGAGUUUCACAAGGAAAUGAGACUCCAGGAGGUGACAAACGCUUGAGGCCUGCACACCAUCUUAGACUACACGAAGGGAAAGGGGUUUGGACUUCUGGGUGAGGAGGCAAGUUAUGGGAAGGGGCAGGAAGGUCUUGUCCAUAAGGUUUGUCUUGUCUUAUCUUGAGAUGAGAGUCUCUCGGGGAUAAGAGCUGCCUCCAGGGGUAGCUUUCCUCCUGGUACGGACUUUUUUACGAAUGGAAAUUUCCUUUACCAAAGGGCACAUUUCUACUUCAUUUCUAGUCGGUUAGGGGAGGUAAGGAGCUUUUCCUGUGUCCGCUGGUUCUGUCUCCUUUAGCUCAAAAUAAUCCUUACGCCAAAGUGGCAUAUUCUGGAGUGACGCAUUCUGGUUCCUUCGGUGUCCACCUUCACAUUCUGCCUCGCUGGCUGUGAGAAUAUCCGUGUGAGACCCUCAGAGAACAAGUCACCCUAGAGACAAACACAGGCUCGCCAUCCUCAGGGGGACUUUUAAAUCCUGUUACGAGAACACGAACUUGUGGCGCUCGGGGUGGUCAUCACUCAGGCUUGUGUGCCCCGCUCCGUCUCUGCAGAGGGACGAGGAGAAAGGGAUGACUUUCAAGAACUGGAAAGUCAUCCAGAGCAAAGAGAUGGCCCCUCUGUGUCACUCAUGGGGUUGUAAUGAAGUUUAGAGGGCGUACAGUACGGUGUUUCCCCAUAAUCGUCACAACAGUAUCUGUAGUUUCACAUGCUCUUCCAGAAUCUUCUCACUCUCUCAUCGAGAGAGAGUCUGUGUUGCCUCCCCUUGAACCGAGGCAGGCUUUUGUGAUGAUUGUCCUGGAAGCAGCAGAGGCAGCACUGUGUCACUUCCCAAGGUGGGUCAUAGAUCACAGUCCAAUUUCUACUCGCUCUCUCUUUCUUGGACAUGCACAUUUGGGAC